This 163-nucleotide small nuclear RNA is filed under the name Castor canadensis (American beaver). Its description in RNAcentral is "U1 spliceosomal RNA (ENSCCNG00000003634.1)". It matches the Rfam family "U1 spliceosomal RNA". Rfam says of the family: U1 is a small nuclear RNA (snRNA) component of the spliceosome (involved in pre-mRNA splicing). Its 5' end forms complementary base pairs with the 5' splice junction, thus defining the 5' donor site of an intron. There are significant differences in sequence and secondary structure between metazoan and yeast U1 snRNAs, the latter being much longer (568 nucleotides as compared to 164 nucleotides in human). The record is from Rfam by way of RNAcentral. Lineage: Eukaryota; Metazoa; Chordata; Mammalia; Rodentia; Castoridae.
AUACUUACCUGUCAGGGGAGAUACCAUGAUCACGAAGUGGUUUUCCCAGGGUGAGGCUUAUCCGUUGCACUCUGGAUGUGUUGACCCCUGCAAUUUCCCCAAAUGUGGGAAACUCGACUGCAUAAUUUGUGGUAGUGGGGGACUGUGUUCGUGCUCUCCCCUG